UCGGGGGAGAAGCCCGGGCUUGGGAGUCGGAGGUCUUGGGUUCGAAUCCCGGAUCCACCGCUUGUCAGCCGGGUGCCUGUGGGCGAGUCACUACUCGGCUUCCGCGGGCCUCAGGGACCUCAUCUGUCAAAUGGGGAUGCGGACCGGGAGGCUCCCGCGGGAGCCCAGCGCUUAGAAGAGGGCUCUGGUCGGGGCCGCCCCCGGCUCCCUGAAGGCGGGCCCGAAGCGGGGGGGGGGCCCCGAAGCGGGGGGGGGGGCCCCGAAGCGGGGGGGGGGGGCCCGCCCGUCCGUCCGUCCCUCCCUCCCUCCCCGCGGGCCGCCCGGCCUCCCCUCAAGGCUCACCCCGGAAGCAGCGCCAGGUCCCCCGGGCCCCGGGCCCGUCUGCGGCGCGGACCCCGCCGCCCGGCGUUCCGGCGCUCUCCCCUUCCGGCCCCGCCCCCCGGCGUCCGGAAGGAAGUGCGUCCGCACGGACCGUAUUUAGGGCCGCCCCGCCGGCCCGCCCUCACUGCGCCUGCUGUUCGCCCUGCCGGACCCCGCGCCGGUGAGCGACGCCUGCGCGCCCCCCUUCCCUGCCUCCCUCCCUCCCUCCCUGCCUGCCUGCCUCCCUGCCUGCCUGCCUCCCUGCCUGCCUCCCUGCCUGCCUCCCUCCCUCCGUUGGCCUCCCUCCUUGCCUGCCUGCCUGUCGCGGGGAGAGCGCUCGAGCCGCCCUCUCCCUCCCUCCCUCCCCGCUCCUCUUUCUCUUUGCCCCCUCCCGGCUCUCCUGGCCGGCUCAUCCCUUGCUUGCUUCCUCCUCCACCCCUCUUCUCCUCCUCCUUUUGCCCCCCUCCUCCAUCUCCUCCUCCUGCCCUCUCCCUCCUCCUCCUGCCUCUCCUCCCGCGUCCUCCUCCUCCUUCUCCUCCUUCUGCCCCCCUCCUCUGUCUUUUGCCCCGAUCCUCCAUCUCCUCCUCCUCCUCCUGCCCCCUCCCUCCUCCUCCUCCCCCCUCCCUCCUCCUCCUCCCCCCUCCUCCUCCUUUUGCCCCCCUCUUCCAUCUCCUCCCCCUCCUGCCCCCUCCCUCCUCCUCCUCCUGCCCCCCCUUCUGCCCCCUCCCUCCUCCUCCUGCUCCCCUCCUCCAUCUCUUCCUCCUCCUCCUGCCCCCAUCCUCCUCCUCCUGCCCCCUUCCUCCAUCUCCUCCUGCCCCCUUCCUCCAUCUCCUCCUGCCCCCUUCCUCCAUCUCCUCCUGCCCCCCUCCUCCUGCCCCCCUCCUCCUUCAUCUCCUUCUCCUCCUGCCCCCCUCCUCCUUCAUCUCCUUCUCCUCCUGCCCCCCUCCUUCAUCUCCUCCUCCUGCCCCCCUCCUCCUGCCCUCCUCCUUCAUCUCCUCCUCCUCCUGCCCCCCUCCUCCAUCUCCUCCUCCUCCUGCCCCCGUCCUCCUCCAUCUCCUCCUCCUCCUCCUGCCCCCGUCCUCCUCCAUCUCCUCCUCCUCCUCCUGCCCCCGUCCUCCUCCAUCUCCUCCUCCUCCUCCUGCCCCCGUCCUCCUCCAUCUCCUCCUCCUCUUCCUCCUGCCCUCUCCCCAUCUCCUCUUCCUCCUGCUGCUGUACAGCCCUUGCCCUUGGAUAUAUUCCCUUUAUUCACCCCUCCCUCAUCCCCAUAGCACUUAA
This 1635-nucleotide long non-coding RNA is filed under the name Ornithorhynchus anatinus (platypus). RNAcentral's name for it is "lncRNA (ENSOANG00000039055.1)". Lineage: Eukaryota; Metazoa; Chordata; Mammalia; Monotremata; Ornithorhynchidae. The record is from RNAcentral.